GAACGAGAAAGUGGAGCAAUCCAUGAGUAAAGUGGCGCACGGGUGAGUAACACGUGACUAACCUACCUUUUAGUGGGGGAUAACCUAGGGAAACCUGGGCUAAUACCGCAUAAUACUUACGAGUCAAAGCAGCAAUGCGCUGAAAGAGGGGGUCGCGGCCGAUUAGCUAGUUGGCGGGGUAAUGGCCCACCAAGGCAGUGAUCGGUAUCCGGCCUGAGAGGGCGCACGGACACACUGGAACUGAAACACGGUCCAGACUCCUACGGGAGGCAGCAGUGGGGAAUUUUGCGCAAUGGGGGAAACCCUGACGCAGCAACGCCGCGUGGGGGAUGAAGUCCCUUGGGACGUAAACUCCUUUCGAUCGGGACGAUAAUGACGGUACCGGAAGAAGAAGCCCCGGCUAACUUCGUGCCAGCAGCCGCGGUAAUACGAGGGGGGCAAGCGUUGUUCGGAAUUAUUGGGCGUAAAGGGUGCGUAGGUGGUUCGGCAAGUCUUGUGUGAAAUCUUCAGGCUCAACUUGAAGUCUGCACAAGAAACUGCCGGGCUUGAGUAUGGGAGAGGUGAGUGGAAUUUCCGGUGUAGCGGUGAAAUGCGUAGAUAUCGGAAGGAACACCUGUGGCGAAAGCGGCUCACUGGACCAUUACUGACACUGAGGCACGAAAGCUAGGGGA
Molecule: ribosomal RNA, 671 nt
Filed under: uncultured bacterium
Lineage: Bacteria
Description: bacterial SSU rRNA
Rfam family: Bacterial small subunit ribosomal RNA
Source: RNAcentral